UGUUAAAAAUUUCAUCCAUUUGUAUUAUUAAAAAGUUACCGUUAUUAGAAUAACCAAAUAGUGACAUUUGACGUGUCACGUGUACCUCAUAUUGACGUACAUGAAUUAAAUUUUAAUACUAGAAAUGGAUGAAAUUUUUAACA
This is a non-coding RNA of Gossypium arboreum, 143 nucleotides long. The record is from Rfam. NCBI's taxonomy places the organism in Eukaryota, Viridiplantae, Streptophyta, Magnoliopsida, Malvales, Malvaceae.